This 440-nucleotide ribosomal RNA is filed under the name uncultured bacterium. Its description in RNAcentral is "bacterial SSU rRNA". It matches the Rfam family "Bacterial small subunit ribosomal RNA", at positions 338 to 795 of the family's 1533-position model. The record is from RNAcentral.
CCUACGGGUUGCAGCAGUGGGGAAUAUUGAACAAUGGGCGAAAGCCUGGUCCAGCAAUGCCGCGGGUGUGAAGAAGGUCUUCGGAUUGUAAAGCACUUUCGACGGGGACGAUGAUGACGGUACCCGUAGAAGAAGCUCCGGCUAACUUCGUGCCAGCAGCCGCGGUAAUACGAAGGGGGCUAGCGUUGCUCGGAAUGACUGGGCGUAAAGGGCGCGUAGGCGGUUUAUGUAGUCAGAUGUGAAAUCCCCGGGCUAAACCUGGGAACUGCAUUUGAGACGCAUAGACUAGAGGUCGAGAGAGGGUUGUGGAAUUCCCAGUGUAGAGGUGAAAUUCGUAGAUAUUGGGAAGAACACCGGUGGCGAAGGCGGCAACCUGGCUCGAUACUGACGCUGAGGCGCGAAAGCGUGGGGAGCAAACAGGAUUAGAUACCCCCGUAGUC